CUACAUUCUUUGACAAUGAUAUGGCAGCUGAAGAAGUAGGGGCAUUGAGGAAUGAAGGAUACCUCCAAAUUUUUAUAUUAAUAGGUACUGUCAUUUUUGUACUCCUCAAUACUAUAUUUAGAGAUGAAAAAAUAAAAAAUAUUGAGGAUAAAAUAAAACAAAAUGAGGAUAAAAUAAAACAAAAUGAGGAUAAAAUAGAAAAUAUUGAGGAUAAAAUAGAAAAUGUUGAGGAUAAAAUAGAAAAAAUGAGGAUAAAAUAGAAAAUAUUGAGGAUAAAAUAGAAAAUAUUGAGGAUAAAAUAGAAAAAAUUGAGGAUACAAUAGAAAAAAUUGAGGAUAAAAUAGGAAAUAUUGAGAAUAAAAUAGGAAAUAUUGAGGAUAAAAUGGGAAAUAUGGAAGAUAAAAUAGGAAAAAUUGAGGAUAAAAUGCAAGCCCAAUUAGAAGAUCUAAAAAGUUUCUUACAGGAUCAAUUGGCAAACAACCACUCUACCAGAAACAGACCUGUUUCUGAACCUUUGAAUGAGGAAAUUUCCUUCCCUGAAAUAGAGAUGGAAAACACCUUCCCUAUAGCCCAGUUAACAGACUGCUUCUCUCGUGCAGUGCAAAUCUUGUCUGAAUUUAAUCCCCAAAACCCUUCCCCUGCAAUCCCAGCUUCUCAUGUUCCUUCUCCUACAGAAAACCAAAUUCCAAUGCAAGGGAGAUCUUGUCCUCCUAGAGAAACCUGUCCUUGUCAAACUGACCCACAGGUGCAAAAUUCAACUAGAGGCCUGUUUCCUCUAAGAGAAGUACCUGAAAUAGGACGAAAUGGGGAUGUGGUGACUUUAAGACAUAGAAUACCGUUUACUCCCCAAGAAAUAAAUGAAUUUACACGAAAUAUCCCCACAUAUGAACAAGAUCCUUUUCUAGUAACAAAAAAGAUGGGAGACAUAUUUUUUCAAUAUAAUCCGUCUUACAAGGACGUUGAGAGCUUACUACAGGCUUUUUUAAGUGAACGUGAAAAAAAUAAAAUAAUUGCUCAUGUCAACAAAACCCGGGGGCGUAAUGCAGCACAUUGGCCAUCUCAGGAUCCCGAAUGGGACUAUAAUAAUCCUGAGGACUAUCUACAACUAUACCGUUGUAGAGAGGCCAUCCUCACGGCCAUGAAGGAAUGUGCGGACAGUACAGAUAAGUGGAUGGAACUGGAAAAAAUUAAGCAAAAGGAAAACGAAACACCCUCCAGAUUUAUGGACAGAAUUAUCGAGUUUGGGGACAGAUACUUAGAUUGGGACUUAAAUAAAGAGAAUAGUUUAAGACAAGUUAGAAGAAUCUUUGUAAAUAAUUCUUGCAAAGUAAUUAAAAAUUAUUUUAAAACACAAUGCCCAAGAUGGUCAGAUAUGGACCUUGAAGAAUUGCGAAAAACAGCUAUAUAUGUUUUUAAGGGAAACGAAGAAAAGGAGAAAGAGAAUAAUGAUGACAUGGAGGAAAUGAAGAAAAAAAUGAGAUGUGUAAUAGAUAGGAUAACUAAAUUAGAAAGUGGGCAUGAUAAUGAACCAACGACAAUUGCCCCUCUCCAGAAAUCCAAUUAUCAAUCCAUUACUUGCCACUUCUGUGAGAAGAAGGGCCACAAAAUGAUGGAAUGUAGAACCUUUCUUAAGAUGUUUGGAAGGAAUACACAG
Monodelphis domestica (gray short-tailed opossum) is the source of this 1654-nucleotide long non-coding RNA. The record is from Ensembl. NCBI's taxonomy places the organism in Eukaryota, Metazoa, Chordata, Mammalia, Didelphimorphia, Didelphidae.